Molecule: ribosomal RNA, 372 nt
Filed under: uncultured bacterium
Lineage: Bacteria
Description: bacterial SSU rRNA
Rfam family: Bacterial small subunit ribosomal RNA
Source: RNAcentral
UACGAACUGUGCGAACGUUAUUCGGAAUCACUGGGCUUAAAGGGUGCGUAGGCGGUUUUCUAAGUCACGUGUGAAAUCUUCCGGCUCAACCGGAAAACUGCGCGUGAUACUGGAUAACUUGAGUGAGGUAGGGGUGUGUGGAACUUCCGGUGGAGCGGUGAAAUGUGUAGAGAUCGGAAGGAACGCCAGCAGCGAAAGCGGCACACUGGGCCUUAUCUGACGCUGAGGCACGAAAGCUAGGGGAGUGAACGGGAUUAGAUACCCCGGUAAUCCUAGCCGUAAACACUGAACACUGGAGGACGGGGGCUUCGGCCUUCGUUCUCGUAGCGAAAGCGUUAAGUGUUCCGCCUGGGGAGUAUGGUCGCAAGGCUG